This 1343-nucleotide ribosomal RNA is filed under the name uncultured bacterium. RNAcentral describes it as "16S ribosomal RNA". It matches the Rfam family "Bacterial small subunit ribosomal RNA", at positions 28 to 1378 of the family's 1533-position model. The record is from RNAcentral.
GACGAACGCUGGCGGCGUGCUUAACACAUGCAAGUCGAACGGAAAGGCCCUGCUUUUGUGGGGUGCUCGAGUGGCGAACGGGUGAGUAACACGUGAGUAACCUGCCCUUGACUUUGGGAUAACUUCAGGAAACUGGGGCUAAUACCGGAUAGGAGCUCCUGCUGCAUGGUGGGGGUUGGAAAGUUUCGGCGGUUGGGGAUGGACUCGCGGCUUAUCAGCUUGUUGGUGGGGUAGUGGCUUACCAAGGCUUUGACGGGUAGCCGGCCUGAGAGGGUGACCGGCCACAUUGGGACUGAGAUACGGCCCAGACUCCUACGGGAGGCAGCAGUGGGGAAUAUUGCACAAUGGGCGGAAGCCUGAUGCAGCAACGCCGCGUGCGGGAUGACGGCCUUCGGGCUGUAAACCGCUUUCGCCUGUGACGAGGCGUGAGUGACGGUAAUGGGUAAAGAAGCACCGGCUAACUACGUGCCAGCAGCCGCGGUGAUACGUAGGGUGCGAGCGUUGUCCGGAUUUAUUGGGCGUAAAGGGCUCGUAGGUGGUUGAUCGCGUCGGAAGUGUAAUCUUGGGGCUUAACCCUGAGCGUGCUUUCGAUACGGGUUGACUUGAGGAAGGUAGGGGAGAAUGGAAUUCCUGGUGGAGCGGUGGAAUGCGCAGAUAUCAGGAGGAACACCAGUGGCGAAGGCGGUUCUCUGGGCCUUUCCUGACGCUGAGGAGCGAAAGCGUGGGGAGCGAACAGGCUUAGAUACCCUGGUAGUCCACGCUGUAAACGGUGGGUACUAGGUGUGGGGUCCAUUCCACGGGUUCCGUGCCGUAGCUAACGCUUUAAGUACCCCGCCUGGGGAGUACGGCCGCAAGGCUAAAACUCAAAGGAAUUGACGGGGCCCCGCACAAGCGGCGGAGCAUGCGGAUUAAUUCGAUGCAACGCGUAGAACCUUACCUGGGUUUGACAUGGAUCGGGAGUGCUCAGAGAUGGGUGUGCCUCUUUUGGGGUCGGUUCACAGGUGGUGCAUGGCUGUCGUCAGCUCAUGUCGUGAGAUGUUGGGUUAAGUCCCGCAACGAGCGCAACCCUUGUUCACUGUUGCCAGCACGUUAUGGUGGGGACUCAGUGGAGACCGCCGGGGUCAACUCGGAGGAAGGUGGGGAUGACGUCAAGUCAUCAUGCCCCUUAUGUCCAGGGCUUCACGCAUGCUACAAUGGCUGGUACAGAGAGUGGCGAGCCUGUGAGGGUGAGCGAAUCUCGGAAAGCCGGUCUCAGUUCGGAUUGGGGUCUGCAACUCGACCUCAUGAAGUCGGAGUCGCUAGUAAUCGCAGAUCAGCAACGCUGCGGUGAAUACGUUCCCGGG